Molecule: ribosomal RNA, 466 nt
Filed under: uncultured bacterium
Lineage: Bacteria
Description: partial 16S ribosomal RNA
Rfam family: Bacterial small subunit ribosomal RNA
Source: RNAcentral
GAUGAACGCUGGCGGCGUGCUUAACACAUGCAAGUCGAACGGAAAGGCCCAAGCUUGCUUGGGUACUCGAGUGGCGAACGGGUGAGUAACACGUGGGUGAUCUGCCCUGCACUUCGGGAUAAGCCUGGGAAACUGGGUCUAAUACUGGAUAGGACCACUUCUUGGAUGUUGUGGUGGAAAGUUUUUUCGGUGUGGGAUGAGCUCGCGGCCUAUCAGCUUGUUGGUGGGGUAAUGGCCUACCAAGGCGUCGACGGGUAGCCGGCCUGAGAGGGUGUACGGCCACAUUGGGACUGAGAUACGGCCCAGACUCCUACGGGAGGCAGCAGUGGGGAAUAUUGCACAAUGGGCGCAAGCCUGAUGCAGCGACGCCGCGUGGGGGAUGACGGCCUUCGGGUUGUAAACUCCUUUCGCUAGGGACGAAGCGUUUUGUGACGGUACCUGGAGAAGAAGCACCGGCUAACUACGU